This 292-nucleotide ribosomal RNA is filed under the name uncultured bacterium. RNAcentral describes it as "partial 16S ribosomal RNA". It matches the Rfam family "Bacterial small subunit ribosomal RNA", at positions 505 to 796 of the family's 1533-position model. The record is from RNAcentral.
GUGCCAGCAGCCGCGGUAAUACGUAGGGGACAAGCGUUGUCCGGAUUUACUGGGCGUAAAGGGCACGCAGGCGGUUUUUUAAGUCAGAUGUGAAAGGUACCGGCUCAACCGGUGACAUGCAUUUGAAACUGAAAGACUUGAGUAUUGGAGAGGCAAGUGGAAUUCCUAGUGUAGCGGUGAAAUGCGUAGAUAUUAGGAGGAACACCGGUGGCGAAGGCGGCUUGCUGGACAAAUACUGACGCUGAGGUGCGAAAGCGUGGGGAGCAAACAGGAUUAGAUACCCUCGUAGUCC